RNAcentral lists this ribosomal RNA (380 nucleotides) under uncultured bacterium. Its description in RNAcentral is "bacterial SSU rRNA". It matches the Rfam family "Bacterial small subunit ribosomal RNA", at positions 31 to 415 of the family's 1533-position model. The record is from RNAcentral.
GAACGCUGGCGGCAUGCUUUACACAUGCAAGUCGAACGGUAACAGGUCUUCGGAUGCUGACGAGUGGCGAACGGGUGAGUAAUACAUCGGAACGUGCCUAGUAGUGGGGGAUAACUACUCGAAAGAGUAGCUAAUACCGCAUGAGAUCUACGGAUGAAAGCAGGGGACCUUCGGGCCUUGUGCUACUAUAGCGGCUGAUGGCAGAUUAGGUAGUUGGUGGGGUAAAGGCUUACCAAGCCUGCGAUCUGUAGCUGGUCUGAGAGGACGACCAGCCACACUGGGACUGAGACACGGCCCAGACUCCUACGGGAGGCAGCAGUGGGGAAUUUUGGACAAUGGGCGAAAGCCUGAUCCAGCAAUGCCGCGUGCAGGAUGAAGGC